GGUUGUAGCUCAGUGGUAGAGCGCUUGUCUAGCACUUGUGAAGCACUGGGUUCAAUCCUCAGCACCA
RNAcentral lists this transfer RNA (67 nucleotides) under Marmota monax (woodchuck). Its description in RNAcentral is "tRNA.Ala". Lineage: Eukaryota; Metazoa; Chordata; Mammalia; Rodentia; Sciuridae. The record is from RNAcentral.